CCUACGGGUGGCAGCAGUGGGGAAUAUUGCGCAAUGGACGCAAGCCUGACACAGCGACGCCGCGUGAGGGAUGACUGCCCUAUGGGUUGUAAACUUCUUUUGUAUGGGGAUAAAAUGAUCCACGUGUGGGAUUUUGUAUGUACCAUAUGAAUAAGGAUCGGCUAACUCCGUGCCAGCAGCCGCGGUAAUACGGAGGAUCCGAGCGUUAUCCGGAUUUAUUGGGUUUAAAGGGUGCGUAGGUGGUUGGUUAAGUUAGUUGUGAAAGUUUGGGGCUCAACUGUAAAAUUGCAGUUGAAACUGGUAGGCUUGAGUACAGUUGAGGUGGGCGGAAUGCGUGGUGUAGCGGUGAAAUGCUUAGAGAUCACGAAGAACUCCGAUUGCGAAGGCAGCUCACUGGACUACAACUGACAUUGAGGCUCGAAAGUGUGGGUAUCAAACAGGAUUAGAUACCCGUGUAGUC
Molecule: ribosomal RNA, 460 nt
Filed under: uncultured bacterium
Lineage: Bacteria
Description: partial 16S ribosomal RNA
Rfam family: Bacterial small subunit ribosomal RNA
Source: RNAcentral